UGCUCGUUUGGUUCAAGUAGAGGAAUGGAAAGGGAAUGAAAUCAAAUAAAGGAGUGGAAUGGUAACAAUAACCAUUACUUUUAUUGAGUGUUUGGUUUAACAAUGGAAAGGAAUCAUUAGUAAGGGAUUCCCUUUCUUUUGUUUCCUCUCUAUUUUGAGGGGUAACAAAUUGGGUGAUUGGGUUACCCUCAAGGAAGGGUAAUGAUUAUCUCAUUAUCCAUACCAAACAAAAGUAAUGGAUUCAAUUACUUGUUUCCCUUUCCAACCUCUAAAAACACCCAAUCAAAUUUGGGCUUAAGUGUAACAUAUUUAGCGGUAUUCAAAGUUUUACUCAUAAAAUGUGUUUUUUUUUUACUCCUUGAGUGAGUAUCUAGCCACAAUUGUUGCAAAUUGCAAUGUAUGUUGCAUUUUGAAAGCCAUAUUUAGGCGUGAAUGAAUUGAUUUAAGUGCAAACGAGUGAAGUUUGAAGGUGAAGCUAAUUCCUUAUAUAAAUUUAAUGUCUUUUGUCAUUCUGAUUCAAGGGUUCAUCCACACCACAUUGUUCAACAUCAAGC
RNAcentral lists this long non-coding RNA (554 nucleotides) under Salvia miltiorrhiza (redroot sage). RNAcentral's name for it is "long non-coding RNA (SMIL_LNC013214)". Lineage: Eukaryota; Viridiplantae; Streptophyta; Magnoliopsida; Lamiales; Lamiaceae. The record is from RNAcentral.